Molecule: ribosomal RNA, 484 nt
Filed under: uncultured bacterium
Lineage: Bacteria
Description: partial 16S ribosomal RNA
Rfam family: Bacterial small subunit ribosomal RNA
Source: RNAcentral
AUUGAACGCUGGCGGCAUGCUUUACACAUGCAAGUCGAACGGCAGCGCGGGCUUCGGCCUGGCGGCGAGUGGCGAACGGGUGAGUAAUACAUCGGAACGUGCCCAGUAGUGGGGGAUAGCUCGGCGAAAGCCGGAUUAAUACCGCAUACGACCUGAGGGUGAAAGCGGGGGAUCAUCGGACCUCGCGCUAUUGGAGCGGCCGAUGGCAGAUUAGCUAGUUGGUGGGGUAAAGGCCUACCAAGGCGACGAUCUGUAGCUGGUCUGAGAGGACGACCAGCCACACUGGGACUGAGACACGGCCCAGACUCCUACGGGAGGCAGCAGUGGGGAAUUUUGGACAAUGGGCGAAAGCCUGAUCCAGCAAUGCCGCGUGUGUGAUGAAGGCCUUCGGGUUGUAAAGCACUUUUGGCGGGAACGAAAAGGACUGUGCCAAUACCACGGUUCGAUGACGGUACCCGCAGAAUAAGCACCGGCUAACUACGUG